Molecule: long non-coding RNA, 1907 nt
Organism: Macaca mulatta (Rhesus monkey)
Lineage: Eukaryota; Metazoa; Chordata; Mammalia; Primates; Cercopithecidae
Source: Ensembl
CUUAGUCUCAGAAUCAUAAUUAAUUAAAUUUUAAGGGACAGAAAUCUAAUAAAAUCUGACUUACUUAAAAAGGGGAACUUAUUGGUUCACAGAAACACGCUGCAGCAAGAGUCAACUGGGGACUCUUGGUUGACGAGAGCCAGGAAUGUGACCUGCAUUGAAAUUUGCUCUUUCAGAGUCAGUGCAGUUGAGUGUGAUGGAAACUCUUCUUUAGAAAAGAAAAAAGAAACAUCAUCCAGGGUACCUGCAUUCUCCUUUCCUCGCAGGACUGCACUUGCUCAGUGGACUUUUGAGCAAAGCAUGGUGGCAGGCACACAGCACAACCCUGGGCUCCAGAGCCUGCCUUUCCCUUCACCUGGAUAUCAACCCUAAAGUUCCAUUUUUCCAGACAGAGCAACCUGGCUUGAGCUCCAUCUUCAGCGCAAUAAUGUAAGUGGACUCACCAUCCCAUGUGCCUCUCCCUGGGAUCCUCAACUAUUCUCAGGGAUGGCCCCAGCAGCCUGGCUGGCACAGUGUGACUCUUGCCCUGCAGUCAUAUGUGUUUGAGUCUAGGCUAGUCAUGUGACGUAAGUUUGGCCUGUCAUAUCCUCUUUAGCAGAAAUUUUAAUAUGAAGAAUUAACUGAGGCAGGCACUGGGGUGGCUGGAGCAUAGCUAAGCUGAUGGCAGCAUUUGGAGGGAAGAGUUUCCUUUCUCUGCUGAGCUUUCUGGUUGCUUCCCACCUCACUGGGGUGCUCAGUUCUUCCUGGAAAUCAUGAGGUGUCCACUCACAUUUUGGUAGAUCCUAUUUGUUGCUUAGAUAUUGAAGUUAAAGUUAAGCAGUUGGUUUCCAUUGGUUGCAGAAAACAGAACUUUAGUGAUUAUACUCACUUGCUUUUUUACCCCAAAUUAUGAGAACACUUAAGCCCUUUACGUUUAGUCACAAGCAGAAGGAAAGAGGAGGCUGGCGAUGAGUGACAGGUUUUCUUUGGAGGGGUAGGAGGAUACUAGUGACUCCUUAAUUCAAACAUUUGGAAAUUCCCAUUUUGUAGCAGCAAAGCUCAACCUAAAUAACUUUUUGGACAUUUCAAGAAACUCUAAAUAAUGCAGAACAAUAAAAUGCUUUGUUUCUAACCAAUACUCAAUCUUGCAAAGCCUGGUGUUCAAAAGAGAUCAGUGAGAUUUAAGAGUUUUAGCUGAACUCUGGAUCUAUACAAUUUUGAACGUCAGAAAUUUCAAUCCUUUCUGACCUUCUAAAAAGAAUAUCCAUCUGGGACCAUUCAGCAAAGAAAAUAAAAUUCUGGCCUCCAGGCAGUUCUGCAUCUGUAGGCAUAAGAAGCAUUUUUCCUAACCAUUAUACUUUCUUGGGUGGCUUCGAGCCCCCAUGCCCCAGGACUGUCCAGCUGUGCGAGUCAGCCUGGAUCGUGCUCCCUGUUCCACCUGAAGCCAUGCAGGCAAAGGCUGCAGCAUGAGGCUUCCCAAGCUGUGUUCAGAUGCUGUGCCUUUCCUCUCAUCUCAUCUACAGGUCAAGCCCAGGUAAGAUGAAGGCCCUGCCCUUUGCAGGGACCUUGUGAGAUGCAGGAGCAGCUUCCGCAGAGAGAUGCAGACACUAAAGUCCCGUGUAGGUGAAGCCUCGGAAGCUGGUCCACCAUGUUCUGCCAGAACAGGGGAAUCAUCAUCCUUAGAACCACCCGGAAGCACGAGUUGUCAGAUGGAGACAGGGCCUCAUAAAUCAGCCAGCACAAACCCCUGGUUGGACAGCAGGUAGGGUGGCAGCCCUGACACUCACAAGGAUUGCCUGGGGCUGCAGCUUAUUAGUGGUGCCUCGAAGCAGCUAGAAUCUGGGUGUCCCCAGGAGAUCUUUCCACACCUGCUGGCUUCUUUCAUGGUGCUGUUUGCCUGCUGGUGCCUGGUGAGGGCCCCUGGUGAG